Molecule: ribosomal RNA, 32 nt
Filed under: Amanita sp. NC-2-7294/2
Lineage: Eukaryota; Fungi; Basidiomycota; Agaricomycetes; Agaricales; Amanitaceae
Description: partial 18S ribosomal RNA
Source: RNAcentral
GGUUUCCUAGGUGACCUGCGGAAGGAUCAUUA